AAAGGGUUCCGGUGCAGCAGCGAGUGGAGGCGGCUCCUUCUCGGAGGGCAGGUCUUCUUCUCCAACAAGGGGUUCUAGCGGCUAGGGUUAGGGUUUGGUGCGAAUGAGAGUUAUUUAUAUCCAUCUGCUUUUGAUCUGGGAUGUCCAUCGCGUUUGAUCUGGACUGUCCGAUCGCGAUUAAAUAAGGAGUGAAUCUAGACCGUUCAUCACGAUCCAAUUUGGACCGUCCAUCGCGAUCUAAUCUGG
RNAcentral lists this long non-coding RNA (246 nucleotides) under Carica papaya (papaya). Its description in RNAcentral is "long non-coding RNA (CPAP_LNC001627)". The record is from RNAcentral. Lineage: Eukaryota; Viridiplantae; Streptophyta; Magnoliopsida; Brassicales; Caricaceae.